GAAAUGCGAUAAGUAAUGUGAAUUGCAGAAUUCAGUGAAUCAUCGAAUCUUUGAACGCACCUUGCGCUCCUUGGUAUUCCUUGGAGCAUGCCUGUUUGAGUAUCAUGAAAUCUUCAAAGUAAAUCUUCUGUUAACUCAAUUGGUUUCUACUUUGGUAUUGGAGGUCUUUGCAGCUUCACACCUGCUCCUCUUUGUUCAUUAGCUGGAUCUCAGUGUUAUGCUUGGUUCCACUCGGCGUGAUAAGUUAUCUAUCGCUGAGGACACUGUAAAAGGUGGCCAAGGUAAAUGCAGAUGAACCGCUUCUCAUAGUCCAUUGACUUGGACAAUACUUUUAUGAUCUGAUCUCAAAUCAGGUAGGACUACCCGCUGAACUUAAGC
RNAcentral lists this unclassified non-coding RNA (378 nucleotides) under plant metagenome. RNAcentral describes it as "partial contains 5.8S ribosomal RNA, internal transcribed spacer 2, and large subunit ribosomal RNA". The stretch from base 1 to 105 matches the Rfam family "5.8S ribosomal RNA", at positions 50 to 154 of the family's 154-position model. The record is from RNAcentral.